RNAcentral lists this ribosomal RNA (439 nucleotides) under uncultured organism. RNAcentral's name for it is "bacterial SSU rRNA". It matches the Rfam family "Bacterial small subunit ribosomal RNA", at positions 1 to 439 of the family's 1533-position model. The record is from RNAcentral.
GGCUUAGAGUUUGAUCAUGGCUCAGGAUGAACGCUGGCGGCGUGCCUAACACAUGCAAGUCGAACGAAGCACUUUCUUUAGAUUCUUCGGAUGAAGAAGACUGUGACUGAGUGGCGGACGGGUGAGUAACGCGUGGGCAACCUGCCCUGUACAGGGGGAUAACAGUUAGAAAUGACUGCUAAUACCGCAUAAGCGCACGAGGACGCAUGUUCUUGUGUGAAAAACUCCGGUGGUACAGGAUGGGCCCGCGUCUGAUUAGGUAGUUGGUGGGGCAGCGGCCUGCCAAGCCGACGAUCAUUAGCCGACCUGAGAGGGUGACCGGUCACAUUGGGACUGAGACACGGCCCAAACUCCUACGGGAGGCAGCAGUGGGGAAUAUUGUACAAUGUGGGAAACCCUGAUGCAGCGUUCAUCCUGAGCCACGAUCAAACUCUAAGCC